Molecule: long non-coding RNA, 1079 nt
Organism: Mus musculus (house mouse)
Lineage: Eukaryota; Metazoa; Chordata; Mammalia; Rodentia; Muridae
Product: predicted gene, 38959
Exons: 3
Source: RefSeq, a predicted model, not a curated record
CUGUGGGAUAAAUGACGAGGGAGCCUGCUGACGCAUUAUGGUCUCCCUACAGAGUGAUUGGCACGGUGGCUAUAGGUUCUCACCCUUGGGAGGAUGCCAUGGAAACCAAAAGGAGCCUCUCCCGACUCUCCGAUUAAUUCUCUAAGCAUGCCUCUUGCAGACACAACCCACGCACUCUUUAAAACAUCUGAAUGGAUCAGUUUGAAUGAACCAUCGCAACCUCAAAAAGAUCAAGACGUGAGAGGAGGCACACUUGCGCUACCAGAAAAUAAAGAUGCUUGUUAACUGUACAUUAAAGAAAUUAAGAUAAUGUCUGGAUGGAUAAACAUACCGAUGGAACAGAAUAGGGAAGCAAGAUGCAGCCUCACCUUUAUGCAUAGUUUAUAAUAACAAAGGUGUCACAAAUUUAAAUAAUAAUAAAAGGUAGCACAACAGAGUUAGGGGAAAGGACCUACUUGACAUCCUGCUGUGUGCUUGCUUAUAGGGAAAGAAUAUGAAAUCGGAUUCUUGUUAACACUAAACACAGCAGAAAGUCCCAAGAGAAUUGUUGACCUGAAAGUGACAGAAGCGGUGAGCUUGGCUGACGACAUAGGGGAAUGCCUACACCUCAGUUUAAACAAAGCCCGAAUAAAACGCACAGACGAGGACUGUGCUACUCCAAGUACCAUCAGAAGAGUGAAAAUAUCUGGGCCUGUUGCUCAAUGGUGAACUGCAAGGCACUCAGGGCCUGGCAUACUAAGAGAAAAGACAUAUGGAUGUAUUUACAAGGCCAGGUGAAGUCUAGGUGUCAUACAAAGACCUGGAUAACAAUCCAUCCUCCUCAGUUGGCAAGAUGCAGCCAGCCCUGAGCGAUGGAGCUUCUGGUGCCUAGAAAUCUCCCGGAGAACUCGAAGACCCUGUCUGCUGUGGCGUCAGAGGUUUCUGCGCGUGGGAGGAGCCUGGGCACCACACAUGGCAUCUCAGGCCUUCUCAGCUUCCAUUGGCAGGGAAUCAUCAGCUCCGGCUCAGAGCUUUCCUGGCCAAAGCUGUGGGAAGCCACAUGUGCCGUUGCAUAGUGGCACUGACUACUGCUGGCCACC